RNAcentral lists this transfer RNA (47 nucleotides) under Lasionycteris noctivagans (Silver-haired bat). RNAcentral describes it as "partial tRNA-Val". The record is from RNAcentral. Lineage: Eukaryota; Metazoa; Chordata; Mammalia; Chiroptera; Vespertilionidae.
GCACCUAGUUUACACCUAGAAGAUUUCACUUAAACUGACCACUUUGA